Long non-coding RNA from Pseudopipra pipra, 446 nucleotides. RefSeq lists it as uncharacterized. Lineage: Eukaryota; Metazoa; Chordata; Aves; Passeriformes; Pipridae. The transcript has 3 exons. The record is from RefSeq and is a predicted model, not a curated record.
UCUGCCCAUGACAGGAGGGUUGGAACUAGUUGAUCUUUAAGGUCCCUUCCAACCCAAACCCUUCUGUGAUUCUAAAUUUUGUGGAUGUUCUGUAAAAGAAUUCUGACUUUUAAGAAUGACUGUCGGAAAGGUUUCCAUUAUUUCCUGCAGGGAGACAGAUUAGAGAACAGCAUAGAGAACAGCAACAGAGUUCAGGCAGCUUCAGUCAGAUUUCUAGGACUCCUGAAACCAUAAAUGUUUUCACAGUAACACAUGAAAAGCAAGAGCAAAAAGAGAAAUGUGGUGCUGCUCACAGCUUUUCUGAAGCCAGCAGUGAGGAUGCAACUGUUGGUCUGGAGAUGUUUUCCCAGACUAAAAACUCACACCUGCCUAAGGACUGUUUUGGAGAAAAUUGUGGUAAAUGUGUCCCAUGUUGUGUAGUGGAUAUCACUAAAUUUCCAGGCAGA